CUCAUUAUGCUGUUCACCUGUUAUAAUGAAUAAUUCUCUGUAUUAAAUUUUACCACUUUAAACUUUUGAGUGGUUUAUGCUUCCUGAUUGGACUCUGACUAAUAUGUUAGGAAGGGUCCCAGGAGGUAAACCCACACAGAUGGGAUUUGGGCAUAGGUUUGGUUUCCCAGGGGGCAGUGCUGAGCUCUUUGCCAGUGGGAAAUGGGGUGCUGGUGAUUUCCAGUAGGUGACCUCACAGUGACUCAAGCUACCACUUACUGUUGAUUGUGACGAAAUGCCAGCUGAGGCACAUGCCUUGGGAGCUAAGUGGUUGCUGCCCUUGACCACUGUGAAGACUGGUGUGGGAAGGGUCGCUUUGGAUGCACUUGAGCAGGGGUCCCCAACCCCUGAGCCAUGGAGCCGCAAGGAGCCACACAGCAGGAGGUGAGCGGUGUCGAGUGAGGGAGUGAGGGAAGCUUCGUCUGUAUUUAGAGCCACUCCCCUUUGCUCACAUUCCCGCCUGAGCUCCACCUUCUCAGAUGAGCAGCAGCAUUAGAUGCUCAUAGGAGAACGCACCCUGUUGUGAACCGUGCAUGUGAGGGAUCGAGGUUGCGCUGUCCUUAUGAGAAUCUAAUACCUAUUGAUCUGUCACUUUCUCCCAUCACGCUCAGGUGGGACCAUCCAGUUGCAGGAAAACAAGCUUAACACGCCCACUAAUUCUACAUUAUGGUGAGUUCUAUAAUUAUUUUAUUAUAUAUUACAGUGUAAUAAUGGAAAUAAAGUGCCUAAUAAAUGCAAAUGUGCUUACAUCUUUUGGCCCAGCUCCUACCUCCCGGCAGCCUCUCCAGGCCCAGAACUUUCUCCAGUCAGCCUCUACAGACCAAGCUCAUGACUCACAAUGGCCUAUUUAGGCCCAUACCCUACGUCACGGCAGCCUCCGCAGAUGAGGCUACUGCCUCACAACAGCCUCCACAGGCACAGCUCCAUCGUUACAAUGGCCUCUUUAGACCCAGCUCCUGCCUCCCAGCCUUCUCUCCAGGCCCUGAACUUUCUCAAGUCGACCUCACCAGGCCCAGCUCAUGCUUCUUUGCAGCCUCUCCAGGCCCAGCUCCUGCAUCUUGGUGGCCCCUCCAGGCCCAGCCUCUGCCUCCCGUCGGCCUCUGCAGUCCCAACGUCUGCCUCACAGCAGAUUCUUCACGCCCAGCAUCUACCUCACUGUGGACCCCCCAAGCCAAGCUCCCAACCUUUCAGCAGCUUCUACACACCCAGCUCCUGCCACCCAGUGGCCUCUUUAGGCCAAGCUCAUGCUUCACAAGGGCCUUUCCAGGCCCAACUUUUGUCUCAUGGCAACCUUCCCUGGCCAGAUUCCUGCCUGUCUCCCAGCAGCCUAGACAGGCCCAGGUCUUGCCUCACACUGGCCUCUCUACAUCCAGCUUAUGCCUCACGGUGGCCUCUCCAGGCCCAACUCCUGUCCCAGGACGUCAUCUCCGGGCCCAAAACUUACUCAAGUUAGACUCUCUAGUCCCAACUGCUGCCUCCUGGUGGCCUAUGAAGGCCCAAAAUCUCCUCAAGUUGACCUGUCCAGGCCCAGCUCCUGCCUCCUGUCAGCGUCUACAGGCCCAACCUCUGCCUCAUGGGGGCUUCUCCAGGCCCACCUCUUCCUCUUGGCUGGGUCUACAGGCACAACUGCUGCCUCACAACAGCCUUUUUUGGCCCAGUUCCUGUCCAGCUCAUGGCGGCCAAUGUAGGCCCAAAACUUCCUCAAGUCAAACUCUCCAGGCCCACCUUCUGCUUCCCGGUGGCAUCAACAGGCCCAGCUUUGACUUGAGAACAGCCUCUGCAGGCCCUGCUCUUGCCUCCCAGGGGCUUUUUCCAGGCCCAGCUCUUGCCUCAUGGCAGCUGCCCCAGGCCAAAUUUCUGCCUGCCUGCCAGCAGCCUCAACAGGCACAGCUCCUCCCUCACAGUGGCCCAUUUAGGCCCAACUCAUGACUGUGAGGCCAUUUCCAGGCCUAGUGCCUGCCUCGUGGCUGACUCUUGAAGCCCAAAACUUCCUCAAAUCAGGCUUUUGCCCAACUUCUGUCUACUGUCGGACUCUACAGGUCAGCCUCUGCCUCACAGUGGACCCUCCAGACCCAGAUGGUGUCUCACUGUGGCAUCCUCAGGCGAAGCUCCUGCCUUUCGGCAGCCUCUCCAGGCCCAGCUCCUCCUGCCUCCCAGUGGCCUCUUUCGGCCCAGCCCAGCUCAUGCCUCCCGGCGGCCUUCCCAAGCCCCGCUUUUGACUUUCGGUGGCCUCUGCAGGCCUCGACAAGGCCCAGCCUCCUGCCUCCCGAAGGCCUGCACAGGCCCAGCCUCUGCCUCACAGCGGACUCUCCACGCCCAGCUAGCUGUUGCUUCACUGCGGCCUCCCGAGUCCAAAGCUCCUGCCUCUCGGCCGCUUCGGCAGGCCCAGCUCCCGCCUGCCAGUGGCCUCUUCAGGCCCAUGGGGCUCAUUCCUGACAACGGCCUUUCCAGGCCCAGUUUUUCCCUUCCGGCGGCCUCUCCGGGCCCAGAACCUCCUCAAGUCGGCCUCUCCAGACCCACUUGCACCCUCCGGGCGUUCUCUCCGGGCCCAGCUCUUCUUCCUGGUUGGGUCUCCAGGCCCGAUUCCUGCCUCUCAACAACCUCUUUGGACUCAGUGCCUACCCAUCUCCUGGCGGCCUUGGUCGGCCCACAGCUUCCUCAAGCCAAGCUCCCCAGGCCCAGGUCAGGCCUCACGGUGGCCUCUCCAGGAUGAGCUCCUGCCCUCCGAUGGCAUCUCCAGGCCCCAAAUGGUCUCCGGUCGGUGGGCUCCUCCACGCCAAGGUUGGGCCUCCCGGCGACCGCCGCAGGCCCAAGUUGUCCUGAAGUCGGGCUCUCCCGGCCCUGCCUCCCAGCAAGUAAGCAAGCUCUUUUGGCUCAACUCCUGCCCAGCUCCCAACCGCCUUUGUAGGCCCCGAACUUUCUCCAGCCAAGCUCUGAGGGCCCACCUCCUGCCUCCUG
RNAcentral lists this long non-coding RNA (2997 nucleotides) under Homo sapiens (human). RNAcentral describes it as "non-protein coding lnc-OR4F29-1:27". The record is from RNAcentral. Lineage: Eukaryota; Metazoa; Chordata; Mammalia; Primates; Hominidae.